Molecule: long non-coding RNA, 1064 nt
Organism: Haplochromis burtoni (Burton's mouthbrooder)
Lineage: Eukaryota; Metazoa; Chordata; Actinopteri; Cichliformes; Cichlidae
Exons: 3
Source: RefSeq, a predicted model, not a curated record
GUUGCCCACCCCUGCUCUAAUGGACACUUGACUUCAGAGUGUCUGAUAUGUGAUGCUGACUGCAGGACGAUACGUCUACACAUGGAUGUGGAAACAAAAGAAGAUCCCAGUGUGUUAAUGAUCAUCGGUGGAAAGCAGUGAUCCUGAAUCUGUGGACUCAAGAUCAGUGCCAAGAAGACCAAAGUCCUCAGUACUGAUGAGCACCACCGACCGUGCAUCUCGAAGGCGUGCAAAUCAAACAAGUGCAGGAAUUCAAAUACCUCUGGUGCAAGAAAAGAAAGUGGCAUCAACAGCAGAAAUACACUCAAGAAUCGGUCAAGCGGCUGCGGCUUUCACCUCCCUCUGAUUGUGCGUCUGGAAGAAGACAAACGUCACCCUCAUCACCAAAAUCUGCCUGUACUGCACACUGCUGUUGCCCAUUCUUCUCUAUAGAUCAGAGACCCGGGUCAUCCUCGAGCACGACCUCAACAAGCUUCAGCUCUUCCAAAUGUGCUGUUUGCGUCAGAUUCUCCGAGUGUCCCCUGUCUCAGCAUACGUAGUCAAUGACACCGGCAGCCCUCGAUUGAAGAGCUGAUCCAGAAGCGACGACUGCAGUGGUUUGGCCAAGUCUGCCGCAUGAGCAACCAUCGCCUGCCAUAUCGCCUUCUACUGCAGCGUGACGCACCCAAGACUUGGAUCAAGCAAAUUGAAGACCAUCUUAAACAACGACGUCUAACCCUCGAGCAAGCAAAGGUUAAGGCCAGAGGUCGCAAAGCCUGGAAGUGCAUCGUUGAGCAAGAUGGAAACCCUACGGCACCCACAGCGACGUACUGGCUUUUUGAACGACCUCCCCUGCCGACCGCCAGCUAGGGACAAAAGAAGAAAAGAAAGUGGACUCAUUGUGGUAUCAGUCUGCUUAAUUUGUAUUAUAUCGGGAAAUAUAUAAAACAUUGAUGUAAAUAAUGUUGACUACUCUUGCAUUUGUCAUCAGUCAUCAUAUAUGUGUCAAAAACAAAGCGAUCAGCAGGGAAAUCAGGCAUGAACAGACUGAAAAGUUACGAAAUUGCAGUUAAUUCUAAGACUAG